RNAcentral lists this long non-coding RNA (398 nucleotides) under Hordeum vulgare. RNAcentral describes it as "long non-coding RNA (HVUL_LNC005733)". The record is from RNAcentral. Lineage: Eukaryota; Viridiplantae; Streptophyta; Magnoliopsida; Poales; Poaceae.
GCCUCGUCACGUCCCAAAACAAAAACGCGACCACCCCCCGGACCCGACGAGAGACCAGGACAAACACCCGUCCGUCCAGCCCCCCCUUCCUCUCCGCCCCGCCUCCAUGGACGCGUACCACCACCAGCAGCGCCGCUUCGACGGCUCCGGCGACGCGCCGCCGCCGCAGCCCCCUCCCCCCUCCCACUGGUACCCUAGCCCCGCGCCGCCGUACCAUCCGCCCCACCCCAACCACCCGUACCCUCCCCAGCACCACCAGUGGGGCCAUCCGCCCCCCGACCUCCAGCACCAGCACCGCCCCCCGCCGCCGCAGUACGCGUACCAGGCCCCUCCCCCGCCGAUGCAGCAGCAGAUGCAGCCGCCGCCCCCCGCGCCAGGGAACCCCYUGGCCUCCCCNN